AGCAGCCGCGGUAAUUCCAGCUCCAAUAGCGUAUAUUAAAGUUGUUGCAGUUAAAAAGCUCGUAGUUGAAUUUCGGGAUCAAUAUGUUGGUCGUGCCUCGGUACGUACUAGCAUAUUGGUUUUCUCCUUUCUGAAGAACCAUGAUGUCAUUUAUUUGGUGUCGUGGGGGAAUCAGGACCGUUACUUUGAAAAAAUUAGAGUGUUUAAAGCAGGCUCACGCUUGAAUACAUUAGCAUGGAAUAAUGAAAUAGGACGUUUGAUUCUAUUUUGUUGGUUUCUAGGAUCGACGUAAUGAUUAAUAGGGAUAGUUGGGGGCAUUAGUAUUCAAUUGUCAGAGGUGAAAUUCUUGGAUUUAUUGAAGACUAACUACUGCGAAAGCAUUUGCCAAGGAUGUUUUCAUUAAUCAAGAACGAAAGUUAGGGGAUCGAAGACGAUCAGAUACCGUCGUAGUCUUAACCAUAAACUAUGCCGACUAGGGAUCGGAUGAUGUUAAUUUUUUUAAUGACUCAUUCGGCGCCUU
RNAcentral lists this unclassified non-coding RNA (520 nucleotides) under uncultured Glomus. RNAcentral's name for it is "SSU rRNA". It matches the Rfam family "Eukaryotic small subunit ribosomal RNA", at positions 569 to 1089 of the family's 1831-position model. The record is from RNAcentral. Lineage: Eukaryota; Fungi; Glomeromycota; Glomeromycetes; Glomerales; Glomeraceae.